RNAcentral lists this ribosomal RNA (494 nucleotides) under uncultured bacterium. RNAcentral's name for it is "bacterial SSU rRNA". It matches the Rfam family "Bacterial small subunit ribosomal RNA", at positions 501 to 996 of the family's 1533-position model. The record is from RNAcentral.
CUACGUGCCAGCAGCCGCGGUAAUACGUAGGGGGCAAGCGUUAUCCGGAAUUAUUGGGCGUAAAGAGUGCGUAGGUGGUUACCUAAGCGCAAGGUUUAAAUUAGAGGCUCAACCUCUACAUGCCUUGCGAACUGGGCUACUUGAGUGCAGGAGGGGAAAGCGGAAUUCCUAGUGUAGCGGUGAAAUGCGUAGAUAUUAGGAGGAACACCGGCGGCGAAGGCGGCUUUCUGGACUGUAACUGACACUGAGGCACGAAAGCGUGGGUAGCAAACAGGAUUAGAUACCCUGGUAGUCCACGCCGUAAACGAUGAGCACUAGGUGUUGGGUCCGUUAGGACUCAGUGCCGCAGUUAACGCAAUAAGUGCUCCGCCUGGGGAGUACGCCCGCAAGAGUAAAACUCAAAGGAAUUGACGGGGACCCGCACAAGCAGCGGAGCAUGUGGUUUAAUUCGAAGCAACGCGAAGAACCUUACCAGGGCUUGACAUCCUGCUGAC